GGGCCUAUAGUUCAGUGGCAGAACAGAGCAUUCGCAUUGCUCAAACGGCGGUCCGAUCCCGCCUAGGUCCACCA
This 74-nucleotide transfer RNA is filed under the name Candidatus Zambryskibacteria bacterium RIFCSPLOWO2_12_FULL_45_14. Its description in RNAcentral is "tRNA-Ala". It matches the Rfam family "tRNA". From Rfam's summary of the family: Transfer RNA (tRNA) molecules are approximately 80 nucleotides in length. The record is from RNAcentral. Lineage: Bacteria; Candidatus Zambryskiibacteriota.